Gasterosteus aculeatus aculeatus (three-spined stickleback) is the source of this 582-nucleotide long non-coding RNA. RefSeq lists it as uncharacterized. Lineage: Eukaryota; Metazoa; Chordata; Actinopteri; Perciformes; Gasterosteidae. The record is from RefSeq and is a predicted model, not a curated record.
GGUAUAGAAGUCAGCGUUGUGCGAUUUGCUCUAAAUAUUUUCUAUCCGCCUCAUUUCUUUCCCCAGAUUUGGCUCUUUCCCUCCAGCCUGGCCGCAGCCGUACACUUGCAUCAAAAAGGUGAGGGUCAUUUGGAUCAACGUAGAACAACAGAGACCUGCCAGAGGCCGCUGAGAGACAAAGAAAGGAUUGACGGUGGCUCACACAGCUGGAGAGCCGCCUGGAGGCGGCGGGCGGCCAGCGGCGUGUCGGCCGGUAUGUCGGUUUGGCCGAACGGACCUCGUGUACAGAACAUCUCAACCUGAUCUAUCCGUUCUUUUAAUGACUGACGGUCCCACGCUGGCAGAGAAAGGAUGUUCUAGUGCUGUAAUGAUUCAAGAGGAGGGCGCCGGGGAGGGAGAGGGGUUACAUUCAUUUGAUAUUUCGUUCCAUUAUGUUAGAGGUUCACCCGUUUGGUUAAUGUUGUAGUUUGUGGCUUUGUUGUUCCAGAGUCAGCAUGUUGGCCACACUUUCUUUACAGUGUUUUUUCUGGGUGCCCUACAUUAUGUGAGUUGCCACUAAUCGCAUUAAAAAAUACCUCUUAA